AGCGAUGUGGUUCAGUGGUAGAGCACUUGCCUGCCAUGUGUGAGACCAUGGGUUCCAUCCCUGUCACUGUCA
RNAcentral lists this transfer RNA (72 nucleotides) under Cavia porcellus (domestic guinea pig). It matches the Rfam family "tRNA". From Rfam's summary of the family: Transfer RNA (tRNA) molecules are approximately 80 nucleotides in length. Their secondary structure includes four short double-helical elements and three loops (D, anti-codon, and T loops). Further hydrogen bonds mediate the characteristic L-shaped molecular structure. tRNAs have two regions of fundamental functional importance: the anti-codon, which is responsible for specific mRNA codon recognition, and the 3' end, to which the tRNAs corresponding amino acid is attached (by aminoacyl-tRNA synthetases). tRNAs cope with the degeneracy of the genetic code in two manners: having more than one tRNA (with a specific anti-codon) for a particular amino acid; and 'wobble' base-pairing, i.e. permitting non-standard base-pairing at the 3rd anti-codon position. Lineage: Eukaryota; Metazoa; Chordata; Mammalia; Rodentia; Caviidae. The record is from Rfam by way of RNAcentral.